UGAGAUGAUUAAAGUAGUUAUGAUUUGAAUGGAGGUACGCCAGACACACGUUCCACUGGCUGCUGGAGAACGACGUGGGCUACGCCGUCCUCCUGAAGGAGCGUGAGAGGACAGGGUCUCAGUCCCCCCUCAUGGCUAACAAGGACGGCCUCCUGCACUACGCCUGCUCAUACCUCGACUUUGCAGAGGCGGUAAAAUUCCACCGGGCGUUUGAGGAGGGCGAAGGAAAAGUCCCGCCAACCUGGCCAGGAGGGCCAGGCCUUUGUUGGCUUUGGGGACUUUAAAUAUGAGACCCUGAGAGCCUCUACAGCUCUAAGGACCCUCAGAAGAUCCGGUUUGUCAACUAUCUGCGCCGGACGUCAGCCGUUCCCGGUUCCCAAAAGGAAAAGGUCAUGGAGUACGUCUGGCGCAGAGACAAGGAGAGGGUCUCCUA
This is a long non-coding RNA of Cyprinodon tularosa, 433 nucleotides long. RefSeq lists it as uncharacterized. The transcript has 3 exons. The record is from RefSeq and is a predicted model, not a curated record. NCBI's taxonomy places the organism in Eukaryota, Metazoa, Chordata, Actinopteri, Cyprinodontiformes, Cyprinodontidae.